AGAAUCAACGCUGGCGGCGUGCCUAACACAUGCAAGUCGAACGAGAAAGUGGAGCAAUCCAUGAGUAAAGUGGCGACCGGGUGAGUAACACGUGACUAACCUACCUUCGAGUGGGGGAUAACCUCGGGAAACCGGGGCUAAUACCGCAUAACAUCUUUGAAGUGGAAACUUUGGAGAUCAAAGGAGCAAUUCGCUGGAAGAGGGGGUCGCGGCUGAUUAGCUAGUUGGCGGGGUAACGCCCACCAAGGCUUAGAUCGGUA
This 260-nucleotide ribosomal RNA is filed under the name uncultured bacterium. RNAcentral's name for it is "partial small subunit ribosomal RNA". It matches the Rfam family "Bacterial small subunit ribosomal RNA", at positions 26 to 285 of the family's 1533-position model. The record is from RNAcentral.